This is a long non-coding RNA of Leopardus geoffroyi (Geoffroy's cat), 1590 nucleotides long. RefSeq lists it as uncharacterized. The transcript has 2 exons. Lineage: Eukaryota; Metazoa; Chordata; Mammalia; Carnivora; Felidae. The record is from RefSeq and is a predicted model, not a curated record.
CUGAAUGUGCAGAGCCUGCUUCAGAUCCUCUGGCGUCCCCUCUGUCUGCCUUCCCUCAUUUGCUCUCUCUCUCAAAAACAAACAUUAAAAAAAAUGUAGGUUAAAUAGACUGCUGUGGACUUACCUGGGAAUGGACUUACCACAAUGUCCGAUAUUGGCCCAAUGAGAAACAACUUUAGACAAGGAAUUUACAAACUAACUUGGAAAAUAUAUUUUAAGCAGAGACUAUUUCAAGUCAGAUUCUGGUUUUAAGCUAGUUUCUUCUUUUUGCCUUUAGUUUGUAGGAUAUAUACUCAAUAUAUAGCAUGUGUAAUAUAUAUAUAUAUAUACACACAUAAUGGCAAAGGCCAGUGCCUUAACAAAGCACAACAAUGUUAUAUUUAUUAAUGAAUGCAUAGUUAUUAAUUAAGGUCCUAAUUGUAAAUUCCUUAUAAAUUAAGUAAUGAUUUAGAAAUUAUUAAUAUAAGAAUAUAUUCUAACUCUGGAAUCUUGCUUCCCUAAGAAAUUGACAUACUUGUUUUGCCUGUGGAAACAUAAAAGUAUUUUCUAAAAGCUAACUCACUAACAAAGCAAAAAAAUUUAUAUCAAACCAACGGUGAUUAGAUUUGAUAAUGCAAAUGUGAACUGACUUCUAAAUAAGAAAGGUACAAUUUUUCUUCCUUUUGGUUAAACAUAUAUCCUUUAUAUGGUAUAAUAGAUUUCAUGUACCUACACAAACACAUACCUAUAAGUAAUGUCCUGAACAAUAAAUAUGUUCUGGAAGUGAACUUCCAUGUCAUUCUAGCUUAGUGCCCUCACAAAGGAAAGAAGAAUUAUGACACUUCCCCUAAGGCAAGUAAACUUAUUUUUUAACAAAUGCUACUAAUAAAUUUUACUCAGUCAUAUGCUUUCCUUAGUCUAACAAUUUUGUCACUGUAUUUGCCUUUUAGAGUGUAUAUAAAAUGUGUGUGGUUUUCUUUUUGUGUUCAUUACAGGUUUUUCUCCACUUAGAGCAUUUGGAAGGAAACAUUUGCCUCUGUAAAGUACUAGUUCCUUCUGUAACAUCAGAGUGUUACAGGUAACAGAGUUGGAGAAUCGUAUAAGUAUGGGAAUUCUGGGUGGCGAGAAUAUCAAUGAAGAUCAGAGCACCCAAGACCUGCACAGCCAAGUAAUCAAAGAACAGGCCAAGACUUGAAGAGUAAUGGAACCUACAGUCAGAAGUAUUCUAGUGGAUUGUGAACAAAUAAAUCGGAAGGGAAGAAUACUAAUGUACACUUUCCCUGGAAGAGUUACCUUCAAUGGUACUGAGGUCUUCUCAUUAAGGUUUAUUACAAAGUUUACUACCUCCCAGGAGAAGGGGAAGUAGGUAUAAGGAAUUGAUUGUGUGAGUUUAAUUGACCAGGCCACAGCAAACCAAAACACCCCUUAGAACCAGGGCCAGCGUCCUGGGAUUUAACUCUUAUGUGGGGAAGGAUCUGUGCCUCUUCCAAAGGGUGAACCAGUAACGGAAGUUACUUGUAUUCUGAAAACAUCACAAAAAGGGCAUCUAUAUACAACAGAUUGAAAUUUUCCAUAGUUUUUAUUUUAUAAAUAAAGCAUUUUUCCUGCUUA